RNAcentral lists this precursor RNA (1073 nucleotides) under Cyanobacterium stanieri PCC 7202. RNAcentral describes it as "partial transfer RNA-Ala". The stretch from base 1 to 851 matches the Rfam family "Bacterial small subunit ribosomal RNA", at positions 678 to 1533 of the family's 1533-position model. The record is from RNAcentral. Lineage: Bacteria; Bacillati; Cyanobacteriota; Cyanophyceae; Chroococcales; Geminocystaceae.
GCGGUGAAAUGCGUAGAGAUUAGGAAGAACACCAGUGGCGAAGGCGCUCUACUGGACAUGUACUGACACUGAGGGACGAAAGCUAGGGUAGCGAAAGGGAUUAGAUACCCCUGUAGUCUUAGCUGUAAACGAUGGAUACUAAGUGUAGCGGGUAUAAACUCCGGCUGUGCUGAAGCAAACGCGUUAAGUAUCCCGCCUGGGGAGUACGCACGCAAGUGUGAAACUCAAAGGAAUUGACGGGGACCCGCACAAGCGGUGGAGUAUGUGGUUUAAUUCGAUGCAACGCGAAGAACCUUACCAAGACUUGACAUCCGAUGAAUCUUUUUGAAAGAAGAGAGUGCCUUAGGGAACAUCGUGACAGGUGGUGCAUGGCUGUCGUCAGCUCGUGUCGUGAGAUGUUGGGUUAAGUCCCGCAACGAGCGCAACCCUCGUCCUUAGUUGCCAGCAUUAAGUUGGGGACUCUAGGGAGACCGCCGGGGAGAACUCGGAGGAAGGUGGGGAUGACGUCAAGUCAGCAUGCCCCUUACGUCUUGGGCUACACACGUACUACAAUGGUUGGGACAAAGGGAUGCGAGACCGCAAGGUGGAGCGAAACCCAUCAAACCCAGCCCCAGUUCAGAUCGUCGGCUGAAACUCGCCGACGUGAAGGAGGAAUCGCUAGUAAUCGCAGGUCAGCAUACUGCGGUGAAUCCGUUCCCGGGUCUUGUACACACCGCCCGUCACACCAUGGAAGUUGGUAACAUCCGAAGUCGUUACUCCAACCAUUUAUGGAGGAGAUCUCUGGACUAGUGACUGGGGUGAAGUCGUAACAAGGUAGCCGUACCGGAAGGUGUGGCUGGAUCACCUCCUUAUAAGGGAGACCGCAAAAUGUGGUCAGCAAGGAAUGUGGAGAAUGGUUUUCAAACUAGAGAUUGGGUUCAUGGGCUAUUAGCUCAGGUGGUUAGAGCGCACCCCUGAUAAGGGUGAGGUCCCUGGUUCAAGUCCAGGAUGGCCCAUAAGUGGGGGUAUAGCUCAGUUGGUAGAGCGCCUGCUUUGCAAGCAGGAUGUCAGCGGUUCGAGUCCGCUUAUCUCCA